UUUUUUUUUUUUUUUUUUACCGAAAGAAAAAAAAAAUCUAAGUAAGAAACCCUAAUUCCAGGUUGGCCGCCGGCAAAAAUCAAUACCAUAAAGAGGGGGGAAAAAAAAAGAAAGAUCGCUGCCUAUCAUUAUCAAAGCAAAAAUUGAAUAUUAACAAAUCGUUUUUCCCAAGCAAAACCACCGCGUAAUCAUCAACGAGAAUAACAGAAAUCACACAGAAAAUAUUUUGUCGAUUUCAUUGAUCAGUAAAAGUAAAUUAAUUAAUCAAACAAUUAAAAAGACGAAAAAGCAAAAGGGUAUACAUUUUUUUAGAGUUUCAAUCUCGG
Molecule: unclassified non-coding RNA, 326 nt
Filed under: Hevea brasiliensis (rubber tree)
Lineage: Eukaryota; Viridiplantae; Streptophyta; Magnoliopsida; Malpighiales; Euphorbiaceae
Source: RNAcentral